RNAcentral lists this ribosomal RNA (546 nucleotides) under Alternaria tenuissima. RNAcentral describes it as "eukaryotic LSU rRNA". The stretch from base 200 to 353 matches the Rfam family "5.8S ribosomal RNA". The record is from RNAcentral. Lineage: Eukaryota; Fungi; Ascomycota; Dothideomycetes; Pleosporales; Pleosporaceae.
UUUUUCCGUAGGUGAACCUGCGGAGGGAUCAUUACACAAAUAUGAAGGCGGGCUGGAACCUCUCGGGGUUACAGCCUUGCUGAAUUAUUCACCCUUGUCUUUUGCGUACUUCUUGUUUCCUUGGUGGGUUCGCCCACCACUAGGACAAACAUAAACCUUUUGUAAUUGCAAUCAGCGUCAGUAACAAAUUAAUAAUUACAACUUUCAACAACGGAUCUCUUGGUUCUGGCAUCGAUGAAGAACGCAGCGAAAUGCGAUAAGUAGUGUGAAUUGCAGAAUUCAGUGAAUCAUCGAAUCUUUGAACGCACAUUGCGCCCUUUGGUAUUCCAAAGGGCAUGCCUGUUCGAGCGUCAUUUGUACCCUCAAGCUUUGCUUGGUGUUGGGCGUCUUGUCUCUAGCUUUGCUGGAGACUCGCCUUAAAGUAAUUGGCAGCCGGCCUACUGGUUUCGGAGCGCAGCACAAGUCGCACUCUCUAUCAGCAAAGGUCUAGCAUCCAUUAAGCCUUUUUUUCAACUUUGACCUCGGAUCAGGUACGAUGCCCGAUUU